This 264-nucleotide ribosomal RNA is filed under the name uncultured bacterium. Its description in RNAcentral is "partial 16S ribosomal RNA". It matches the Rfam family "Bacterial small subunit ribosomal RNA", at positions 793 to 1055 of the family's 1533-position model. The record is from RNAcentral.
GUCCACGCCGUAAACGAUGCCGACUCGGUAUCCGUGGGGCGAAUAGCCCUGGGGGUGCCCCAGCUCACGCGGUAAGUCGGCCGCCUGGGGACUACGAGCGCAAGCUUAAAACUCAAAGGAAUUGACGGGGCCCGCACAAGCAGCGGAGCGUGUGGUUUAAUUCGACGCAACGCGCAGAACCUUACCUAGCCUUGACAUGGGUCUGCAGAGUGGUGAAAGCUGCUCGCCUUCGAGGGUGACCCACCGGUGCUGCAUGGCUGUCGU